UUCCAUUUUCAGAUCAACUACCCCUAAAACCACGACGAACACCGUACAACGAUGUGCAUAUUAGCGCCUCAUUGCGGCGCUGGAUUUCAGAGCACUACUUCUAUUUUCAGAUCUGAAAGCGCUGCUACCAUUUUGGAAAGCGUCGUUCACCAUUUUCAAAUUAGCAAUGCCACACCUAGAGAAAGCAGUGACAGAGAAGGGGGAGAGAGGAGAGAGAAGAUUGGAAGAAAAGAAUGAAAAAUGAUAUAGGGUUUGAGAACGAAAUUUGAUGAGGUGGAUGGAGGUCGGGUGAGUAUAUAGAUUAAUCUAAUUUUAUAAUGUUAUUAUUAAUAUUGAAUUAUUAUUUGAUUUUUUUAUAAACGAGCUGUAAGUCGAAUUUUUGAAAUAGUAACUUAAAAAAUCUUAUUCUCUAUCAUUUCCACUUAAACUUAAAGACAUCUUUGAUGCAUUGACUUUGCACAUAAUUAAGCCUCAGUUUGGCCCUCAUUCUUAUUCUUUUUUUUCUCUCUCUUAUUUUUAAUUACACAAU
RNAcentral lists this long non-coding RNA (529 nucleotides) under Olea europaea subsp. europaea. The record is from RNAcentral. Lineage: Eukaryota; Viridiplantae; Streptophyta; Magnoliopsida; Lamiales; Oleaceae.